CCUACGGGAGGCAGCAGUGGGGAAUAUUGCGCAAUGGGCGAAAGCCUGACGCAGCGACGCCGCGUGAGGGAUGAAGGUCUUCGGAUCGUAAACCUCUGUCAGCAGGGAAGCACGGUCACUGUGCUAAUCAGCAGUGAGUUUACGGUACCUGCAAAGGACGCACCGGCUAACUCCGUGCCCGCAGCCGCGGUAAUACGGAGGGUGCGAGCGUUAAUCGGAAUUACUGGGCGUAAGGCGCUCGUAGGCGGUAUGUCAAGUCAAGGGUGAAAUCCCCGCGCUCAACGUGGGAACUGCCUUUGAAACUGGCAAACUGGAGUGUGUGAGAGGAUAGUGGAAUUCGAGGUGUAGGAGUGAAAUCCGUAGAUAUCUGGAGGAACAUCAGUGGCGAAGGCGACUAUCUGGCACAUAACUGACGCUGAGGAGCGAAAGCGUGGGUAGCAAACAGGAUUAGAUACCCCUGUAGUC
Molecule: ribosomal RNA, 465 nt
Filed under: uncultured bacterium
Lineage: Bacteria
Description: partial 16S ribosomal RNA
Rfam family: Bacterial small subunit ribosomal RNA
Source: RNAcentral